Molecule: ribosomal RNA, 496 nt
Filed under: uncultured bacterium
Lineage: Bacteria
Description: partial 16S ribosomal RNA
Rfam family: Bacterial small subunit ribosomal RNA
Source: RNAcentral
AUGAACGCUGGCGGCGUGCCUAAUCCAUGCAAGUCGAGCGAACGGACGAGUAGCUUGCUUCUCUGAUGUUAGCCGAGGACGGGAGAGUAACACGUGGAUACCCUAUCUAUAUGUUUGGGGUAGCUUCGGGAGACCGGCUCUCAUAAAGGCUGCUAUCUUGCACCGCAUGGAACCAAAGUAAAUGACGAUCUUGCUCUCACUUAUAGAUGGAUCCGCGCUGCAUUAGCUAGUUGGUAAGGUAACGGCUUACCAAGGCAACGAUGCAUAGCCGACCUGAGAGGGUGAUCAGCCACACUGGAACUGAGACACGGUCCAGACUCCUACGGGAGGCAGCAGUAGGGAAUCUUCCGCAAUGGGCGAAAGCCUGACGGAGCAACGCCGCGUGAGUGAUGAAGGUCUUCGGAUCGUAAAACUCUUUUAUUAGGGAAGAACAUAUGUGUAAGUAACUGUGCACAUCUUGACGGUACCUAAACAGAAAGCCACGGCUAACUUCGUG